Molecule: long non-coding RNA, 634 nt
Organism: Oncorhynchus gorbuscha (pink salmon)
Lineage: Eukaryota; Metazoa; Chordata; Actinopteri; Salmoniformes; Salmonidae
Exons: 3
Source: RefSeq, a predicted model, not a curated record
GUGAAAAUCUACAGGUUAGCUGUCAAGCAAAAGGGUUGGAGAAACCGCAAAACUAAUUUGGAGACUGGUCCAACAAGGGUUGGUGUUGGGAGUACCAUGUGGAUGAGCCUCCCUGGGUGACUCUGGAGAAGCUGGGCUUCUCUGCAGCGACCAUGACAGGUGUGGGGCAAACACUGUUGUGGCAUCUACUGUACACAAAAACACCACGUGACAGUCAUUACAAAAACCACUGGGUGUCACUGCUGCAACAAGACAGGAGUAUUUUCACCAUAGUUGGUCAGAAUUGUACUACUGCAUCACUGUGUUUGAUUGGAGGGGUGUCCAUGGUCAGUGCUAACUUUGGUGAGGAUGUAUUUUUUGUAUGUCGGUGUCAUUUUAUUGUUGAUAAUAGAAUAUAACGUGGCUACAGUACUGAUGUCAUAGUGUAACUAUAGUGCCUUCAGAAAGUAUUCACCCUGCUGGACUUUUUCCAGAUUUUAUUAGACUGAUGGAUUUUAAAUGGAUUUUGUCACUGGCCUACACACAAUACCCUAUAAUGUCAAAGUGGAAUUAUGUUUUUAGGCAUUCUUAUAAAAUAGCUUAAUAUUAAAAGCUGAAAUGUCUUGAGUCAACUAUUCAAGUUAUGGCAAGCCUA